Molecule: ribosomal RNA, 448 nt
Filed under: uncultured Streptococcus sp.
Lineage: Bacteria; Bacillati; Bacillota; Bacilli; Lactobacillales; Streptococcaceae
Description: partial 16S ribosomal RNA
Rfam family: Bacterial small subunit ribosomal RNA
Source: RNAcentral
ACGGAAGGCAGCAGUAGGGAAUCUUCGGCAAUGGGGGCAACCCUGACCGAGCAACGCCGCGUGAGUGAAGCAGGUUUUCGGAUCGUAAAGCUCUGUUGUAAGAGAAGAACGUGUGUGAGAGUGGAAAGUUCACACAGUGACGGCAACUUACCAGAAAGGGACGGCUAACUACGUGCCAGCAGCCGCGGUACUACGUAGGUCCCGAGCGUUGUCCGGAUUUAUUGGGCGUAAAGCGAGCGCAGGCGGGUUAAUAAGUCUGAAGUUAAAGGCAGUGGCUUAACCAUUGUUCGCUUUGGAAACUGUUAGACUUGAGUGCAGAAGGGGAGAGUGGAAUUCCAUGUGUAGCGGUGAAAUGCGUAGAUAUAUGGAGGAACACCGGUGGCGAAAGCGGCUCUCUGGUCUGUAACUGACGCUGAGGCUCGAAAGUGGGGGGAGCAAACAGGAUUAG